RNAcentral lists this ribosomal RNA (425 nucleotides) under uncultured bacterium. RNAcentral describes it as "partial 16S ribosomal RNA". It matches the Rfam family "Bacterial small subunit ribosomal RNA", at positions 354 to 796 of the family's 1533-position model. The record is from RNAcentral.
GUGGGGAAUAUUGGACAAUGGGCGAAAGCCUGAUCCAGCAAUGCCGCGUGAGUGAUGAAGGCCUUAGGGUUGUAAAGCUCUUUUACCCGGGAAGAUAAUGACUGUACCGGGAGAAUAAGCCCCGGCUAACUCCGUGCCAGCAGCCGCGGUAAUACGGAGGGGGCUAGCGUUGUUCGGAAUUACUGGGCGUAAAGCGCACGUAGGCGGUUUUGUAAGUUAGAGGUGAAAGCCUGGGGCUCAACCCCAGAAUUGCCUUUAAGACUGCAUCACUUGAACGUCGGAGAGGUGAGUGGAAUUCCGAGUGUAGAGGUGAAAUUCGUAGAUAUUCGGAGGAACACCAGUGGCGAAGGCGGCUCACUGGCUCGAUACUGACGCUGAGGUGCGAAAGCGUGGGGAGCAAACAGGAUUAGAAACCCGUGUAGUCC